CCUACGGGAGACAGCAGUGAGGAAUAUUGGUCAAUGGGCGGAAGCCUGAACCAGCCAAGUAGCGUGCAGGAUGACGGCCCUCCGGGUUGUAAACAGCUUUUAUACGGGAAUAACGCGCCUUACGUGUAGGGCUUUGCAUGUACCGUAUGAAUAAGAACCGGCUAAUCCCGUGCCAGCCGCCGCGGUAAUACGGAAGGGCCGGGUGUUAUCCGGAUUUAGUGGGGUUAAAGUGAGCGUAGGGCGCAUGUCAAGCGUGCUGUGAAAUGUCCGGGCGCAACCCGGGCCUUGCAGCGCGAACUGGCGUGCUUGAGUCCGCGGAAAGCAGGCGGAAUUCGUCGUG
This 340-nucleotide ribosomal RNA is filed under the name uncultured bacterium. RNAcentral describes it as "partial 16S ribosomal RNA". It matches the Rfam family "Bacterial small subunit ribosomal RNA", at positions 338 to 675 of the family's 1533-position model. The record is from RNAcentral.